RNAcentral lists this ribosomal RNA (754 nucleotides) under Melanina gundecimermaniae. RNAcentral's name for it is "SSU rRNA". It matches the Rfam family "Eukaryotic small subunit ribosomal RNA", at positions 99 to 866 of the family's 1831-position model. Lineage: Eukaryota; Fungi; Ascomycota; Eurotiomycetes; Chaetothyriales. The record is from RNAcentral.
CAUUAAUCAGUUAUCGUUUAUUUGAUAGUACCUUUACCUGGAUAACCGUGGUAAUUCUAGAGCUAAUACAUGCUAAAAACCUCGACUUCGGAAGGGGUGUAUUUAUUAGAUAAAAAACCAAUGCCCUUCGGGGCUCCUUGGUGAAUCAUAAUAACUUCACGAAUCGCAUGGCCUUGCGCCGGCGAUGGUUCAUUCAAAUUUCUGCCCUAUCAACUUUCGAUGGUAAGAUAGAGGCUUACCAUGGUCUUAACGGGUAACGGGGAAUUAGGGUUCUAUUCCGGAGAGGGAGCCUGAGAAACGGCUACCACAUCCAAGGAAGGCAGCAGGCGCGCAAAUUACCCAAUCCCGACACGGGGAGGUAGUGACAAUAAAUACUGAUACGGGGCUCUUUUGGGUCUCGUAAUUGGAAUGAGUACAAUCUAAAUCCCUUAACGAGGAACAAUUGGAGGGCAAGUCUGGUGCCAGCAGCCGCGGUAAUUCCAGCUCCAAUAGCGUAUAUUAAAGUUGUUGCCGUUAAAAAGCUCGUAGUUGAACCUUGGGCCGGGCUGACCUGUCCUCCUAAUCGAGCGCACGGGUUCGGUCUGGCCUUUCCUUCUGGGGAACCCCAUGUCCUUCACUGGGUGUGGUGGGGAACCAGGACUUUUACCUUGAAAAAAUUAGAGUGUUCAAAGCAGGCCUUUGCUCGAAUACAUUAGCAUGGAAUAAUAGAAUAGGACAUCGGUUCUAUUUUGUUGGUUUCUAGGACCGCCGUAAU